GUGCUUGCUUCAGCAGCACAUAUCCUAAAAUGGGAACAAUACAGAGAAAAUUAGCAUGGCUUCUGCAGUAAGGAAGCAGCACAAAUUUUUGAAGUGUUCUAUAUUUUG
This is a small nuclear RNA of Macaca fascicularis (crab-eating macaque), 108 nucleotides long. The record is from Ensembl. NCBI's taxonomy places the organism in Eukaryota, Metazoa, Chordata, Mammalia, Primates, Cercopithecidae.